UUCCCACUCGAUCACCGAAGUUAAGCAACGUCAAGCCCAGGCAGUACUUAGAUGGGUGAUCGCUUGGGAAUAACAGGUACUGUAA
Molecule: non-coding RNA, 85 nt
Organism: Acanthosepion pharaonis
Lineage: Eukaryota; Metazoa; Mollusca; Cephalopoda; Sepiida; Sepiidae
Source: the annotation of a GenBank genome assembly